Long non-coding RNA from Zonotrichia leucophrys gambelii, 1292 nucleotides. RefSeq lists it as uncharacterized. Lineage: Eukaryota; Metazoa; Chordata; Aves; Passeriformes; Passerellidae. The record is from RefSeq and is a predicted model, not a curated record. The transcript has 3 exons.
GGGAUUCUUCUCCUGUACUCAGCACUGGGGGGCUGUAGCCACGUGGAGGUUGGACUCUUCUCCAGGAAACCUGGGAUGAGGAGAACACAGCCUCAAGUGGGCCAGAGAUCCCCGAUGGCUCUUGGAAGACUGGCAAUGUUUGUCUUUUCUUUGGGGUUCAGAAACCUUAGAGGAAGAUUCACGUGGAUGAUGGGACCUCCCCUGAAGCUCCAUCCCCUCUCACAGUGGUGUUUCCUCCCUUUCUGGUCAAGGCACCCCUCCAGCUCCUGCAGGAGAGCUCUGCACAGGACAGAAGGUGGAGAUGGUCUUUGGAGGGUGGCAACAGCAAAAGGACAUUAAAUUAGGACUGGUGGUGGUGAUGGUGGUGCGAAUCAACGCUGAAGCAGCUGCACCUCUCCCUGUGCUUUGAUCACAGCUAUCCUGCAACAAGACACGUGGGAUGAUGCUGUGCUGAGUGCCAGGGAAGUGCCUGCCUGGCACUAAAAAAACACAGGAAGCGUUUUCUACCUGUCAGCAUUGUCUGCUUUAAGGGAAGGGCAGUAAAAGUCUGCUGCCUUUGAUGGCCUGGUCCCCACACUUUGUCCAAAGCUCUGCCACCAAUGCUGUAGUGCUGAAAGGAUUUUAAGCUAGCUUGGAUUUUUUUUUCAUUCCAUUUCUGCACUGCAGAGGUCUAGUAAGCUAAAUGUCCCAUAUCCAGUUACUCCAUUACACAGCACAGGCUGGGCAUUUGUUGUGACGGAACAAAUAGCAGAAAAGGAGAAAAAUGUCAGGUGUAGGAGAAAAAUGUCAGGUGUAGGGGGAUGUGUGGAAUUUAUGCAAUUUUUCAUAGAUACGACUUAGCAUUUUCCUAGAAACUUCACCACAAAGACCUCAGAGCUGUAGAUGGAGGCAAACAGCUUUGCUUUAAUGUGAGAAAGAAAUUCAGCCAGCGCUUUGCCAGAGUAAUGGGCAAAAUUAUGCAGCUUUGUCCCCUGAAAAGGCUGGCAUUGCAACGGGCCUUUUUAUCCCAAAGGAGCAGCUGAAUAAUAUUUUUGACAGCUUAUUGUGAAGAAAAUGCACAGUGUUUUUGAGAAGGGGUUUGUUUUCCUUUCACAUAGUUGCAAACAGUCUCACCUUUUCUCCAUUGAUGCAUACCAUAUAUCUGAGCACCCCUUUCUAGCCUCAUUAAUAUGGCAUAUUGCAUAUUGUGUAGAAGAUUUUGAAUAACUUACUCAUGGAAAUGUUGACAAAAUCUUCACAUUUCUGCAAAUUUUAUAUAUGCAAAUAAAUCACUGCUUUUCCUUUAAAACUGC